GCGCCUGUUGUUUAGUGGUUAGAAUGUUGGCUUCCCAAGCCAGCGACCCGGGUUCGAAGUGUCUCGAAUAUAUCGCGACCACGAAAAUCCCGGCAGGCGCA
Molecule: transfer RNA, 101 nt
Filed under: Promethearchaeota archaeon
Lineage: Archaea; Promethearchaeati; Promethearchaeota
Description: Candidatus Lokiarchaeota archaeon (anaerobic digester metagenome) tRNA-Gly
Rfam family: tRNA
About the family: Transfer RNA (tRNA) molecules are approximately 80 nucleotides in length.
Source: RNAcentral